Molecule: long non-coding RNA, 1307 nt
Filed under: Equus caballus (horse)
Lineage: Eukaryota; Metazoa; Chordata; Mammalia; Perissodactyla; Equidae
Description: lncRNA (ENSECAG00000042932.2)
Source: RNAcentral
AGGUAUAACGUACACACUGUAACUUUCAUCCAGGGUAAGUGUCCAAUUCAACGAUUGUUCGUUGUUGAUGUAUUGUUGUGCGCCCAUCAUUGAAGUCCGGCUUUAGAAUUCACCCCCAAAUUCCCCUGUGUCCACAGCCAUCGUGAUUCCUUUAAUUGUGCUUAUGUUUUGCCUUUAUGUCCUGGAGCCAAUUAUUAUAACAAAAGAAUAAAUGCUUUUUUUUCAAGCUUUAUUGCACUAUCAUUGAUAUGUAACGGUGUAUAAGUUUCAGGUGCACAGCGUGAUGAUUUGAUAUAUUUAUAUAUUGCAAAAUAUGCAAGUCUCCUCAGUAGAGGACAUGGAAGAUUAUCACAGUGGGGCUGGCUGACCCCUCCACCACCUUACAAAUGACCAUUUCUUCUCUGUGGUGAGAACACUUAAGAUCUACUCUCUUAGCAGCUUUCAAGUGUGUCAUACAGUAUGGUUAAUGACAGUCGCCCUGCUGUACGUCGGAUCCCCAGAUCUUAUUCCUCUUGUAGCUGGAAGUCUGGGCUCGGUGACCAACAUCUCUCAAUUUUCCCCAACACUCAGCCCCUGGCAACCACCCUUCUAAUCUCUGUUUCUGUGAAUUCAGGAGGAAUCCUCUCUGACUGAGACGGGGGUCAGCCCUUUUUUGUUCUAUUCAGGCCUUCGACUGAUUAGAUGAGGCCCACCCACAUUCGGGAGGACAAUCUGCUCUACUCUGUCUACUGAUUCCCAUGUGAAGCUCAUCCAGAAACAGGCUCACAGACACAUCCAGCAUAAUGCUCACCAAACAUCUGGGCCCCCCAUGGCCCAGUCAAGUGGACACAUAAAAUUAACUCUCACUGGGAGAGAUGAAGAAGGGAAUUUAAACUGAUACAGAAUGUGGUCAUGCGCAAGCUGCUUCUUUGUACACCUGGGGCUCAAUCCGUCUGGUGGGCUCUGGUUGAUGGUCAUCUCAAAGGGUCCCACCCCAGUGGUGAGGAAACUGAGGUAUUCGUCUUCUGUCUCCCAUCUGACGUUGCCUGAAGGAUGCUCCUGGGGACUUUUAUUCCUAGCACUUCUUGCUUCCGCCAAGAACAAGCCCUCAGGUGCGGAGUCUUGGGUGCUGGCCCCGGGAUGUCUUCUGCUUGCAUGGGGAUGUCGAGAGCCUGACGGACACAGGAAGGCUGUGAACAUGGAGCCGGCAGCAUCCACACGUCCUCCUCUGUGGAGAGAGAUGGAGACUUCUUGGAAUCUUGGUGGUGAAGCCCUGAGCCAUUGUGUAAGAAGUCCAAUGACCCUGCUGGACAGACAUGUGGGGCAAC